GCGCCAUUAGCUCAGCUGGUAGAGCACCUGCCUCUUAAGCAGAGGGUCGCAGGUUCGAAUCCUGCAUGGCGCA
Molecule: transfer RNA, 73 nt
Filed under: Candidatus Margulisiibacteriota bacterium
Lineage: Bacteria; Bacillati; Candidatus Margulisiibacteriota
Description: Candidatus Margulisbacteria bacterium (hot springs metagenome) tRNA-Lys
Rfam family: tRNA
About the family: Transfer RNA (tRNA) molecules are approximately 80 nucleotides in length. Their secondary structure includes four short double-helical elements and three loops (D, anti-codon, and T loops). Further hydrogen bonds mediate the characteristic L-shaped molecular structure. tRNAs have two regions of fundamental functional importance: the anti-codon, which is responsible for specific mRNA codon recognition, and the 3' end, to which the tRNAs corresponding amino acid is attached (by aminoacyl-tRNA synthetases). tRNAs cope with the degeneracy of the genetic code in two manners: having more than one tRNA (with a specific anti-codon) for a particular amino acid; and 'wobble' base-pairing, i.e. permitting non-standard base-pairing at the 3rd anti-codon position.
Source: RNAcentral